This 253-nucleotide ribosomal RNA is filed under the name uncultured bacterium. RNAcentral's name for it is "partial 16S ribosomal RNA". It matches the Rfam family "Bacterial small subunit ribosomal RNA", at positions 524 to 776 of the family's 1533-position model. The record is from RNAcentral.
UACAGAGGUCUCGAGCGUUAGGCGGAAUCACUGGGCUUAAAGCGUGUGUAGGCGGAUUGGUAAGUACCUUGUGAAAUCCCACAGCUUAACUGUGGAACUGCUUGGUAUACUGCCAGUCUUGAGCCAGCUAGGGGCUACCGGAACAAAUGGUGGAGCGGUGAAAUGCGUAGAUAUCAUUUGGAACGCCAAUGGUGAAAACAGGUAGCUGGGGCUGUGCUGACGCUGAGACACGAAAGCCAGGGGAGCAAACGGG